RNAcentral lists this transfer RNA (75 nucleotides) under Staphylococcus warneri. Its description in RNAcentral is "tRNA-OTHER". It matches the Rfam family "tRNA". From Rfam's summary of the family: Transfer RNA (tRNA) molecules are approximately 80 nucleotides in length. The record is from RNAcentral. Lineage: Bacteria; Bacillati; Bacillota; Bacilli; Caryophanales; Staphylococcaceae.
GGAAACGUACUCAAGUUGGCUGAUAAGGGUGUAGGUCGCGAGAGCGGCGCGAGGGUUCGAAUCCCUCCGUUUCCG